This 499-nucleotide ribosomal RNA is filed under the name uncultured bacterium. RNAcentral's name for it is "partial 16S ribosomal RNA". It matches the Rfam family "Bacterial small subunit ribosomal RNA", at positions 28 to 523 of the family's 1533-position model. The record is from RNAcentral.
GAUGAACGCUAGCGGCAGGCAUAAUACAUGCAAGUUGAACGCUGAGGACAGCAGCAAUGUUAUCCUUGGAGUGGCGCACGGGUGCGUAACACGUAUGCAAUCUGCCCCUAACAGGGGAAUAGCCCGGCGAAAGUCGGAUUAAUACCCCAUAACAAUGCGAACCGGCAUCGGUUUGUUUUUAAAGCUCCGGCGGUUAGGGAUGAGCAUGCGCGACAUUAGCUAGAUGGCGGGGUAACGGCCCACCAUGGCUACGAUGUCUAGGGGGUCUGAGAGGAUUUUCCCCCACACUGGUACUGAGACACGGACCAGACUCCUACGGGAGGCAGCAGUAGGGAAUAUUGGGCAAUGGACGCAAGUCUGACCCAGCCAUGCCGCGUGAAGGAUGAAGGCCCUAUGGGUUGUAAACUUCUUUUGUACGGGAAGAAACCCCUAUACGUGUAGGGGCUGACGGUACCGUAAGAAUAAGGAUCGGCUAACUCCGUGCCAGCAGCCGCGGUAA